This 429-nucleotide ribosomal RNA is filed under the name Pseudomonadota bacterium. RNAcentral's name for it is "Proteobacteria bacterium partial 16S ribosomal RNA". It matches the Rfam family "Bacterial small subunit ribosomal RNA", at positions 355 to 776 of the family's 1533-position model. Lineage: Bacteria; Pseudomonadati; Pseudomonadota. The record is from RNAcentral.
UGGGGAAUAUUGGACAAUGGGCGAAAGCCUGAUCCAGCCAUGCCGCGUGUGUGAAGAAGGUCUUCGGAUUGUAAAGCACUUUAAGUUGGGAGGAAGGGCAGUAAGCGAAUACCUUGCUGUUUUGACGUUACCGACAGAAUAAGCACCGGCUAACUCUGUGCCAGCAGCCGCGGUAAUACAGAGGGUGCAAGCGUUAAUCGGAAUUACUGGGCGUAAAGCGCGCGUAGGUGGUUCGUUAAGUUGAAUGUGAAAGCCCCGGGCUCAACCUGGGAACUGCAUCCAAAACUGGCGAGCUAGAGUAGGGCAGAGGGUGGUGGAAUUUCCUGUGUAGCGGUGAAAUGCGUAGAUAUAGGAAGGAACACCAGUGGCGAAGGCGACCACCUGGGCUCAUACUGACACUGAGGGGCGAAAGCGUGGGGAGCAAACAGG